GAACGCACCUUUCGGGGUGAGUGGCAGACGGGUGAGUAACACGUGGGAACGUACCCUUUGGUCUGGAAUAACCCUGGGAAACUAGGGCUAAUACCGGAUACGGCCGGGAGGCGAAAGGUUUACUGCCGGAGGAUCGGCCCGCGUCCGAUUAGCUUGUUGGUGGGGUAAUGGCUCACCAAGGCUUCGAUCGGUAGCUGGUCUGAGAGGAUGACCAGCCACAUUGGGACUGAGACACGGCCCAAACUCCUACGGGAGGCAGCAGUGGGGAAUAUUGGACAAUGGGCGCAAGCCUGAUCCAGCCAUGCCGCGUGAGUGAUGAAGGCCUUAGGGUUGUAAAGCUCUUUUACCUGGGAAGAUCAUGACGGUACCAGGAGAAUAAGCCCCGGCUAACUUCGUG
This 397-nucleotide ribosomal RNA is filed under the name uncultured bacterium. RNAcentral describes it as "bacterial SSU rRNA". It matches the Rfam family "Bacterial small subunit ribosomal RNA", at positions 64 to 507 of the family's 1533-position model. The record is from RNAcentral.